This is a ribosomal RNA of Strongyloides venezuelensis, 152 nucleotides long. It matches the Rfam family "Eukaryotic small subunit ribosomal RNA", at positions 1667 to 1823 of the family's 1831-position model. The record is from Rfam. NCBI's taxonomy places the organism in Eukaryota, Metazoa, Nematoda, Chromadorea, Rhabditida, Strongyloididae.
CACCGCCCGUCGCUGCCCGGAACUGAGCAAUAUCGAGAGGCAGGAAGAGAUACAAAAAAUAUUUAUAUUUUUUUGUGUUAAAUCCUUUCAAUCGCUGUUGUUUGAACCGGGCAAAAGUCGUAACAAGGUUUUCGUAGGUGAACCUGCGAAAG